AUUGAACGCUGGCGGCAUGCUUUACACAUGCAAGUCGAACGGCAGCACAGAGAAGCUUGCUUCUUGGGUGGCGAGUGGCGAACGGGUGAGUAAUAUAUCGGAACGUACCGAGUAAUGGGGGAUAACUAAUCGAAAGAUUAGCUAAUACCGCAUAUUCUCUGAGGAGGAAAGCAGGGGACCUUCGGGCCUUGCGUUAUUCGAGCGGCCGAUAUCUGAUUAGCUAGUUGGUGGGGUAAAGGCCUACCAAGGCGACGAUCAGUAGCGGGUCUGAGAGGAUGAUCCGCCACACUGGGACUGAGACACGGCCCAGACUCCUACGGGAGGCAGCAGUGGGGAAUUUUGGACAAUGGGCGCAAGCCUGAUCCAGCCAUGCCGCGUGUCUGAAGAAGGCCUUCGGGUUGUAAAGGACUUUUGUCAGGGAAGAAAAGGCUGUUGCUAAUAUCGACAGCUGAUGACGGUACCUGAAGAAUAAGCACCGGCUAACUACGUGCCAGCAGCCGCGGUAAUACGUAGGGUGCGAGCGUUAAUCGGAAUUACUGGGCGUAAAGCGAGUGCAGACGGUUACUUAAGCAGGAUGUGAAAUCCCCGGGCUCAACCUGGGAACUGCGUUCUGAACUGGGUGACUAGAGUGUGUCAGAGGGAGGUAGAAUUCCACGUGUAGCAGUGAAAUGCGUAGAGAUGUGGAGGAAUACCGAUGGCGAAGGCAGCCUCCUGGGAUAACACUGACGUUCAUGCUCGAAAGCGUGGGUAGCAAACAGG
This 759-nucleotide ribosomal RNA is filed under the name Neisseria subflava. Its description in RNAcentral is "bacterial SSU rRNA". It matches the Rfam family "Bacterial small subunit ribosomal RNA", at positions 28 to 776 of the family's 1533-position model. The record is from RNAcentral. Lineage: Bacteria; Pseudomonadati; Pseudomonadota; Betaproteobacteria; Neisseriales; Neisseriaceae.